UUAAGUGACUAAGCGUACACGGUGGAUGCCUUGGCAGUCAGAGGCGAUGAAAGACGUAGUAACUUGCGAUAAGCCCAGAUUAGGUAGUAACAACCAUUUGAGUCUGGGAUUUCUGAAUGGGGAAACCCACGUGCAUAAGCACGUAUCCUUACCUGAAUACAUAGGGUAAGGAGGCGAACCGGGGGAACUGAAACAUCUAAGUACCCCGAGGAAAAGAAAUCAACCGAGAUUCCGAAAGUAGCGGCGAGCGAAAUUGGACUAGCCCUUAAGCUUUACACGCGUUAGACGAACGGUCUGGAAAGUCCGACGAUACAGGGUGAUAGUCCCGUAGUUGACGACGUGUGUUCAGUGAAAUCGAGUAGGGCGGGACACGUGAUAUCCUGUCUGAAUAUGGGGGGACCAUCCUCCAAGGCUAAAUACUACUGACUGACCGAUAGUGAACCAGUACCGUGAGGGAAAGGCGAAAAGAACCCCUGUGAGGGGAGUGAAAUAGAACCUGAAACCGUGUACGUACAAGCAGUAGGAGCAGGCUUUGUCCUGUGACUGCGUACCUUUUGUAUAAUGGGUCAGCGACUUAUAUUCAGUGGCAAGGUUAACCAUCUAGGGGAGCCGUAGGGAAACCGAGUCUUAACUGGGCGUUCAGUCUCUGGAUAUAGACCCGAAACCAGGUGAUCUAGCCAUGGGCAGGUUGAAGGUUGAGUAACAUCAACUGGAGGACCGAACCGACUAAUGUUGAAAAAUUAGCGGAUGACUUGUGGCUAGGGGUGAAAGGCCAAUCAAACCUGGAGAUAGCUGGUUCUCCCCGAAAGCUAUUUAGGUAGCGCCUCGGACGAAUACUACUGGGGGUAGAGCACUGUUAAGGCUAGGGGGUCAUCCCGACUUACCAACCCUUUGCAAACUCCGAAUACCAGUAAGUACUAUCCGGGAGACACACGGCGGGUGCUAACGUCCGUCGUGGAGAGGGAAACAACCCAGACCGCCAGCUAAGGUCCCAAAUUACUACUAAGUGGGAAACGAUGUGGGAAGGCUCAGACAGCCAGGAUGUUGGCUUAGAAGCAGCCAUCAUUUAAAGAAAGCGUAAUAGCUCACUGGUCGAGUCGGCCUGCGCGGAAGAUGUAACGGGGCUAAGUAGUAAACCGAAGCUGCGGCAAUAUACUUUUGUAUAUUGGGUAGGGGAGCGUUCUGUAAGCGGUUGAAGGUGUGUGGUAACGCAUGCUGGACGUAUCAGAAGUGCGAAUGCUGACAUGAGUAACGAUAAAGGGGGUGAAAAACCUCCUCGCCGGAAGACCAAGGGUUCCUGUCCAACGUUAAUCGGGGCAGGGUAAGUCGACCCCUAAGGCGAGGCCGAAAGGCGUAGUCGAUGGGAAACGGGUUAAUAUUCCCGUACUUCUUACAAUUGCGAUGGGGGGACGGAGAAGGCUAGGUGGGCCUGGCGACGGUUGUCCAGGUUCAAGUGCGUAGGCUGAGAGAUUAGGUAAAUCCGGUUUCUCUUAAGGCUGAGACACGACGUCGAGCACCUACGGGUGUGAAGUCAUUGAUGCCAUGCUUCCAGGAAAAGCCUCUAAGCUUCAGAUUGUAAGGAAUCGUACCCCAAACCGACACAGGUGGUCGGGUAGAGAAUACCAAGGCGCUUGAGAGAACUCGGGUGAAGGAACUAGGCAAAAUGGUACCGUAACUUCGGGAGAAGGUACGCUCUCGACGGUGAAGUCCCUCGCGGAUGGAGCUAUUGAGAGUCGCAGAUACCAGGUGGCUGCAACUGUUUAUUAAAAACACAGCACUGUGCAAAAUCGUAAGAUGACGUAUACGGUGUGACGCCUGCCCGGUGCCGGAAGGUUAAUUGAUGGGGUUAGACUUCGGUCGAAGCUCUUGAUCGAAGCCCCGGUAAACGGCGGCCGUAACUAUAACGGUCCUAAGGUAGCGAAAUUCCUUGUCGGGUAAGUUCCGACCUGCACGAAUGGCGUAAUGAUGGCCACGCUGUCUCCACCCGAGACUCAGUGAAAUUGAAAUCGCUGUGAAGAUGCAGUGUACCCGCGGCUAGACGGAAAGACCCCGUGAACCUUUACUACAGCUUGGCACUGAACAUUGACCCUACAUGUGUAGGAUAGGUGGGAGGCUUUGAAGCAGGUACGCCAGUAUUUGUGGAGCCGUCCUUGAAAUACCACCCUUGUAGUGUUGAUGUUCUAACGUCGACCCCUUAUCGGGGUUGCGGACAGUGCCUGGUGGGUAGUUUGACUGGGGCGGUCUCCUCCCAAAGAGUAACGGAGGAGCACGAAGGUGGGCUAAUCACGGUUGGACAUCGUGAGGUUAGUGCAAUGGCAUAAGCCCGCUUGACUGCGAGAAUGACAAUUCGAGCAGGUGCGAAAGCAGGUCAUAGUGAUCCGGUGGUUCUGAAUGGAAGGGCCAUCGCUCAACGGAUAAAAGGUACUCCGGGGAUAACAGGCUGAUACCGCCCAAGAGUUCAUAUCGACGGCGGUGUUUGGCACCUCGAUGUCGGCUCAUCACAUCCUGGGGCUGAAGUCGGUCCCAAGGGUAUGGCUGUUCGCCAUUUAAAGUGGUACGCGAGCUGGGUUUAGAACGUCGUGAGACAGUUCGGUCCCUAUCUGCCGUGGGCGUUGGAAGAUUGAAGGGGGCUGCUCCUAGUACGAGAGGACCGGAGUGGACGAACCUCUGGUGUUCGGGUUGUGUCGCCAGACGCAUUGCCCGGUAGCUAAGUUCGGAAUCGAUAACCGCUGAAAGCAUCUAAGCGGGAAGCGAGCCCUGAGAUGAGUCUUCCCUGAUACUUUAAGUAUCCUAAAGGGUUGUCGGAGACUACGACGUUGAUAGGUCAGGUGUGUAAGUGCUGUGAGGCAUUGAGCUAACUGAUACUAAUUGCCCGUGAGGCUUAACCAU
Molecule: ribosomal RNA, 2889 nt
Filed under: Vibrio parahaemolyticus
Lineage: Bacteria; Pseudomonadati; Pseudomonadota; Gammaproteobacteria; Vibrionales; Vibrionaceae
Description: bacterial LSU rRNA
Rfam family: Bacterial large subunit ribosomal RNA
Source: RNAcentral